AGCAGGGAAGAUGUGGGAACCCAGAGAGUAGUACAGCUCCCUCCCAAGAUGGUAGGACAGAGAGAGGAGAUGCUGGUAGCUGGAGCCCAGGAGCAGAGGUCACCUCGCCAAAGCUGGGCCCAGCCCAGGCACGUCUGGUGGGAGCCGUGGAGGAAGUGUAGGGAGAGAAGUACCUUUUGGAGGACAGGAGGGAGGUUUCUCUCUCCCUCCGGCCUUUCAAUCUCCCACCGGAAGUGGGAGAAGCCUGCUGUCAUAGGUGCCUGGGAAAUCCAGCCUGCCCCUGCCCAGCCACAAUACAGCAAGGAAUAAAUUUAAGGACUGGAGCUUCUCUGGGAUGGGAGCAGAGAAGCGGGGCUGGAGAUUCCUGCAGGGCAGGCACACAAGGCCACAGGAGGCCUUUGAAGGGUUUUCCACAGGAGAACAUGAUCCAGCUUAUGUCUUGAAGCAUGUCUCUGGCUGCUGAGUGGGAAACGGUUUGAAGAGGAGCCAGAAUGCCAUCAGGGAGGCUAGUGUGGGUUCUGCAGAGGUUCUCCAGUGUCACCGUGGACCCGGGCUCUUGCCAUCUUUGCACUCUGCCAACCUCAGUGUGUUGCCCGCCCCGGGCUGCCUCCUUCAUCUCCCAGGAGAAGACUCUGAGGCAGGAUUCGAGCGCAAGUGAUUUAUGUGGGAGGAGAUCCCAAGAAGCAUGUGUAGGGGAGUGGGGAAGUGAGACAGGGAGGAGAGGGAAGCCAGAACAGGGGACGUUCAUGGACAACUGGCACCAGAUCCCACUAGGGAGCUCAGAGUCAAAGCCUCAGAGCUGCUCCAUCUGAGGUGAGAAUGCUGCCCAUGCGCCUCCAUGCAUGUACUCAGUGAACACCUAGUGUGCGCAGGUAAGGACUACUCACACGCACUUCUCCAUAGCACCAGAGCAUGCCUGUAGGCAGAUAGCCUGUUGCAUGGCAAGAGUGACAUCAUCAUGAAAUGAAACUGCCAUGAUGACCGAUGUCUGACUCCAGCAUACCACAGUGUUUUGCAGCAAUUUUAUUACUUUUUUAAGACAAAGUCUCGCUCUGUCACCCAGGCUGGAAUGCAGUGGUGCAAUCACUGCAGCCUUGACCCCCCCAGACUCAAGUGAUCCUCCCACCUUAGCCUCCCGAGUAGCUGGGACUAUAGACACACACCAUCACACCUGGCUAAUUAAAGAAAAAAAAAAUUUGAGGCCAGGCACAGUGGCUCACGCCUGUAAUCCCAGCACU
RNAcentral lists this long non-coding RNA (1238 nucleotides) under Homo sapiens (human). RNAcentral's name for it is "HSALNT0002902". The record is from RNAcentral. Lineage: Eukaryota; Metazoa; Chordata; Mammalia; Primates; Hominidae.